This 377-nucleotide ribosomal RNA is filed under the name uncultured Turicibacter sp. Its description in RNAcentral is "bacterial SSU rRNA". It matches the Rfam family "Bacterial small subunit ribosomal RNA", at positions 999 to 1382 of the family's 1533-position model. The record is from RNAcentral. Lineage: Bacteria; Bacillati; Bacillota; Erysipelotrichia; Erysipelotrichales; Turicibacteraceae.
UUUAGAGAUAAAGCGGAGGUAUUCGGGGAGACAGGUGGUGCAUGGUUGUCGUCAGCUCGUGUCGUGAGAUGUUGGGUUAAGUCCCGCAACGAGCGCAACCCCUAUUGCUAGUUACCAUCAUUAAGUUGGGGACUCUAGCGAGACUGCCAGUGAUAAACUGGAGGAAGGUGGGGAUGACGUCAAAUCAUCAUGCCCCUUAUGACCUGGGCUACAAACGUGCUACAAUGGUCGGUACAAAGGGUUGCCAAGCCGCGAGGUGGAGCUAAUCCCAUAAAACCGAUCGUAGUCCGGAUCGCAGUCUGCAACUCGACUGCGUGAAGUCGGAAUCGCUAGUAAUCGUGAAUCAGAAUGUCACGGUGAAUACGUUCCCGGGCCUU